CUUGGGCUCCCCCAAUUACCAGGUCAAGGAUACUCCUUUCAUAGCUUUCGAACAAACACAUACAAACUGAGCUUUAUUGAGAGUCCCUUUGGGAUUAAGGUCAAGGAUGCUCUUUUCAUAGCUUUCGAACAAACACAUACAAACAGAUCUUUAUGGAGAGUCCCUCGGAGAUUAAGUGUUGAAUGAGGAAAUCUUGGAUUCCCCCCGUUACCAGGUCAAGUACAUACAAACUGGGCUUUAUGGAGAGUCCCUUUGGGAUUAAGUGCUGAAUGAGGAAAUCUUGGAUUCCCCCCAUUACCAGGUCAAGUACAUACAAACUGAGGUUUAUGCAGAGUCUCUCUGAGAUUAAGGAAAUCUUGGGUUCCCCCCAUUACCAAGUCAAGGAUGCUCUUUUCAUAACUUUCGAACAAAC
This is a long non-coding RNA of Amborella trichopoda, 412 nucleotides long. RefSeq lists it as uncharacterized. NCBI's taxonomy places the organism in Eukaryota, Viridiplantae, Streptophyta, Magnoliopsida, Amborellales, Amborellaceae. The record is from RefSeq and is a predicted model, not a curated record.